CCCUGAGUUCUGGUGCUGCAGCUUGAAGUCAGCAGAGCGGACAGGACAGGGAAUGGAGUGGGGGAAGACAGGACGUACUGAGCCAGCCUAGGUGGGAAGCCCCACAAGGGCAGGCAGGAAUCUUUCCCCUUCUUGCCGCCACCAAUCCUCCAGCUUUAAUGAGGCGGAUGUCCUUCAGAAGAAACUCACCCUGUAGCCGUACAGAAAAAAAGAAAGAGGCUCUAUCAAAUUCUUCGGGAACAUAAUCUUUCUCGAGCCGAUGUUAAAAUUCAAGGCGGUUGCUUGGGAAACGGUGAAAGAGGAAAAGAUUUCUUCACCAGCCACUUCUACAGAACAUGAUCAUGGCAAUGAACUCACACGCCACUUCUGCAUCCUGAGGUGUCCAGGAUGGCCUCAAGUCCAUGUUCAGGGCAGCUGUGGGAUGGGCAGAACCCAUCUUGGUGUUGCAGGGCAUGAACCCGCCUCUUCAUUCUCUGCCCAGACUGUGAAAGAUGACUCUGAUAGGACCAGAGUCAAGGUGAAGCAUGUGAAUGCUUUCUGUAAAAUAAAAAAGAAAGCAGGAAGAGAAAUCAACAUAUUAAAUACAGGCAAUUAAUCACGAGUGAAAAAAGUAAUCCUGAAGGAACCAGGAAUCCUUGGUGAAAUGACUGCUUCCGGCUUGAGGAAGAAAAUGUUCAAGAUACGUCUGCAACAUCCAGUCAUUCGAGAAAGCAAGAAGCUAGCAAAGACCACUGGAACUCAGGAGCCACUUUCAAGAGAC
This is a long non-coding RNA of Suricata suricatta (meerkat), 760 nucleotides long. RefSeq lists it as uncharacterized. The record is from RefSeq and is a predicted model, not a curated record. The transcript has 3 exons. NCBI's taxonomy places the organism in Eukaryota, Metazoa, Chordata, Mammalia, Carnivora, Herpestidae.